RNAcentral lists this ribosomal RNA (492 nucleotides) under uncultured bacterium. RNAcentral's name for it is "bacterial SSU rRNA". It matches the Rfam family "Bacterial small subunit ribosomal RNA", at positions 36 to 518 of the family's 1533-position model. The record is from RNAcentral.
CUGGCGGCGCGUCUAAGCAUGCAAGUCGAACGGCAAGAGGUAGCAAUACCUCCUAGAGUGGCGGACUGGUGAGUAACACGUGGUGACAUACCCUUCAGAUGGGGAUAGCUAUUAGAAAUAGUAGAUAAUACCGAAUACGAGCACAGGGGUUAGAGAUCUGUGAGGAAAGGAGCUAAGGCUCCGCUGAAGGAAUGGCCUGCGGCCCAUUAGCUAGUUGGUGAGGUAAGAGCCCACCAAGGCGAUGAUGGGUAUCCGGCCUUAGAGGGUGAACGGACACAUUGGGACUGAGAUACGGCCCAGACUCCUACGGGAGGCAGCAGCUAAGAAUAUUCCGCAAUGGACGAAAGUCUGACGGAGCGACGCCGCGUGGAUGAAGAAGGCCGGAAGGUUGUAAAAAUCCUUUUGAAACUGAAGAAUAAGCGUUGUAGGGAAUGACAGCGUGGUGACAGUAGGUUUUGAAUAAGCAACGGCUAAUUACGUGCCAGCAGCCGC